AAUCGCUAGUAAUCGUAGAUCAGCAUGCUACGGUGAAUACGUUCCCGGGUCUUGUACACACCGCCCGUCACACCACGAGAGUUUGUAACACCCGAAGCCGGUGGAGUAACCUUUUAGGAGCUAGCCGUUGAAGGUGGGACAAAUGAUUGGGGUGAAGUCGUAACAAGGUAGCCGUAUCGGAAGGUGCGGCUGGAUCACCUCCUUUCUAAGGA
Molecule: ribosomal RNA, 212 nt
Filed under: Staphylococcus aureus
Lineage: Bacteria; Bacillati; Bacillota; Bacilli; Caryophanales; Staphylococcaceae
Description: partial 16S ribosomal RNA
Rfam family: Bacterial small subunit ribosomal RNA
Source: RNAcentral